Molecule: antisense RNA, 75 nt
Filed under: Frankia limosa
Lineage: Bacteria; Bacillati; Actinomycetota; Actinomycetes; Frankiales; Frankiaceae
Also listed under: 1 other name
Description: Frankia sp. AgKG'84/4 ASpks
Rfam family: ASpks TB sRNA
Source: RNAcentral
CUUCAGCGACCCCAGCCACAGCGGCUGCCCGGGGUCCCGGCCCCGUCCGUAGGUCGCCAGCAGCGCCUGGGCCUC